Molecule: ribosomal RNA, 831 nt
Filed under: uncultured bacterium
Lineage: Bacteria
Description: bacterial SSU rRNA
Rfam family: Bacterial small subunit ribosomal RNA
Source: RNAcentral
CCGGGGCUUAANUCCGGUUUUGCAGUGGGUACGGGCUAACUAGAGUGCAGUAGGGGAGACUGGAAUUCCUGGUGUAGCGGUGGAAUGCACAGAUAUCAGGAGGAACACCGAUGGCGAAGGCAGGUCUCUGGGCUGUAACUGACGCUGAGAAGCGAAAGCAUGGGGAGCGAACAGGAUUAGAUACCCUGGUAGUCCAUGCCGUAAACGUUGGGCACUAGGUGUGGGGGACAUUCCACGUUUUCCGCGCCGUAGCUAACGCAUUAAGUGCCCCGCCUGGGGAGUACGGCCGCAAGGCUAAAACUCAAAGGAAUUGACGGGGGCCCGCACAAGCGGCGGAGCAUGCGGAUUAAUUCGAUGCAACGCGAAGAACCUUACCAAGGCUUGACAUGCAUUAGAUCGCGUCAGAGAUGGCGUUUCCCUUCGGGGCUGGUGUACAGGUGGUGCAUGGUUGUCGUCAGCUCGUGUCGUGAGAUGUUGGGUUAAGUCCCGCAACGAGCGCAACCCUCGUUCUAUGUUGCCAGCGGUUCGGCCGGGGACUCAUAGGAGACUGCCGGGGUUAACUCGGAGGAAGGUGGGGAUGACGUCAAAUCAUCAUGCCCCUUAUGUCUUGGGCUUCACGCAUGCUACAAUGGCCGGUACAGAGGGUUGCGAUACUGUGAGGUGGAGCUAAUCCCUUAAAGCCGGUCUCAGUUCGGAUUGGGGUCUGCAACUCGACCCCAUGAAGUCGGAGUCGCUAGUAAUCGCAGAUCAGCGACGCUGCGGUGAAUACGUUCCCGGGCCUUGUACACACCGCCCGUCAAGUCACGAAAGUUGGUAACACCCGAAGCCGGU